AACGAACGCUGGCGGCAUGCCUAACACAUGCAAGUCGAACGAAGCCUUCGGGCUUAGUGGCGCACGGGUGCGUAACGCGUGGGAGUCUGCCCUUGGGUUCGGAAUAACAGUUAGAAAUGACUGCUAAUACCGGAUGAUGUCUUCGGACCAAAGAUUUAUCGCCCAAGGAUGAGCCCGCGUAGGAUUAGGUAGUUGGUGGGGUAAUGGCCCACCAAGCCGACGAUCCUUAGCUGGUCUGAGAGGAUGAUCAGCCACACUGGGACUGAUACACGGCCCAGACUCCUACGGGAGGCAGCAGUGGGGAAUAUUGGACAAUGGGCGAAAGCCUGAUCCAGCAAUGCCGCGUGAGUGAUGAAGGCCUUAGGGUUGUAAAGCUCUUUUACCAGGGAUGAUAAUGACAGUACCUGGAGAAUAAGCUCCGGCUAACUCCGUGCCAGCAGCCGCCGUAA
Molecule: ribosomal RNA, 449 nt
Filed under: uncultured bacterium
Lineage: Bacteria
Description: partial 16S ribosomal RNA
Rfam family: Bacterial small subunit ribosomal RNA
Source: RNAcentral